AGUGAACGCUGGCGGCAGGCCUAACACAUGCAAGUCGAACGGCAGCACAGUAAGAGCUCGCUCUUACGGGUGGCGACGGGCGGACGGGUGAGGAAUACAUCGCAAUCUACUUUUUCGGGGGGGAUAACGUAGGGAAACUGACGCUAAUACCGCAUACGACCUACGGGUGAAAGCAGGGGAUCUUCGGACCUUGCGCGAUUGAAUGAGCCGAUGUCGGAUUAGCUAGUUGGCGAGGUAAAGGCCCACCAAGGCGACGAUCCGUAGCUGGUCUGAGAGGAUGAUCAGCCACACUGGAACUGAGACACGGUCCAGACUCCUACGGGAGGCAGCAGUGGGGAAUCUUGGACAAUGGGCGAAAGCCUGAUCCAGCAAUACCGCGUGGGUGAAGAAGGCCUUCGGGUUGUAAAGCCCUUUUGUUGGGAAAGAAAAGCAGCAGGUUAAUACCCCGCCGUUCUGACGGUACCUAAAGAAUAAGCACCGGCUAACUUCGUG
RNAcentral lists this ribosomal RNA (492 nucleotides) under uncultured bacterium. RNAcentral's name for it is "partial 16S ribosomal RNA". It matches the Rfam family "Bacterial small subunit ribosomal RNA", at positions 29 to 507 of the family's 1533-position model. The record is from RNAcentral.